This 625-nucleotide ribosomal RNA is filed under the name uncultured bacterium. RNAcentral's name for it is "bacterial SSU rRNA". The stretch from base 1 to 542 matches the Rfam family "Bacterial small subunit ribosomal RNA", at positions 338 to 873 of the family's 1533-position model. The record is from RNAcentral.
CCUACGGGAGGCAGCAGUGGGGAAUUUUGGACAAUGGGCGCAAGCCUGAUCCAGCCAUGCCGCGUGUGGGAAGAAGGCCUUCGGGUUGUAAACCACUUUUGUCAGGGAAGAAACGGUCUGGUCUAAUAAACCGGACUAAUGACGGUACCUGAAGAAUAAGCACCGGCUAACUACGUGCCAGCAGCCGCGGUAAUACGUAGGGUGCAAGCGUUAAUCGGAAUUACUGGGCGUAAAGCGUGCGCAGGCGGCUUUGCAAGACAGAUGUGAAAUCCCCGGGCUCAACCUGGGAACUGCAUUUGUGACUGCAAGGCUAGAGUACGGCAGAGGGGGAUGGAAUUCCGCGUGUAGCAGUGAAAUGCGUAGAUAUGCGGAGGAACACCGAUGGCGAAGGCAAUCCCCUGGGCCUGUACUGACGCUCAUGCACGAAAGCGUGGGGAGCAAACAGGAUUAGAUACCCUGGUAGUCCACGCCCUAAACGAUGUCAACUGGUUGUUGGGAGGGUUUCUUCUCAGUAACGAAGCUAACGCGUGAAGUUGACCGCCUGGGGGAGGUACGGCCGCGAGUAGAACGUACGAAGAAGUAGUACGGCGUGAGACGUGGCGAGGACGACGACGAGGGAGGAGGG